AAUUAAUUGCCACCCCCUCCUUUAUCAUGUUGAGAAGUGGAAGAGUCCUUCUUAAUGAAGGAUCUUAUCCAACUCAUCGAUUUCCUUCAGAUUCCUAUUUAUUUCAUGCUGAUUUUUUUAAGAUGGAUUUAUGAGGCAUAGAAGAGGAGUCUUUCUAUGUGAAGAAUCUUCUAUUCCAAUUAAAGACGUGGAGAAUUUAUUCUCUGCAUGAUAAGUUGGAGCACCAAGAGUUGGCGCCCC
This 240-nucleotide long non-coding RNA is filed under the name Elaeis guineensis (African oil palm). Its description in RNAcentral is "long non-coding RNA (EGUI_LNC064654)". The record is from RNAcentral. Lineage: Eukaryota; Viridiplantae; Streptophyta; Magnoliopsida; Arecales; Arecaceae.